Molecule: unclassified non-coding RNA, 2033 nt
Filed under: Ceratitis capitata (Mediterranean fruit fly)
Lineage: Eukaryota; Metazoa; Arthropoda; Insecta; Diptera; Tephritidae
Description: ubiquitin-conjugating enzyme E2 E1, transcript variant X3
Source: RNAcentral
AACAGUUAACAGCGUUUGCCGGCUUAAGCGCGUAGUCUAUAGCUGGACCACUCGCACUCACAUAGAGCAUUUGGUCGUGUAUUUGCAAAAAUCACCAGUCAACAACUCGACGUCAAACAAUAAAAGCGAAAAGAAAAAAACGGUUUGAUAAUAGCACAAAGAAUAAGAAGAUCGGUGGAAAAGGCGAACGAAUGAGUGGAAAAGCAACAGCAAUGAAAAAUCAAAUUGAUGCCUGAUUGCUUGGUGUCUGUCUGACUUUCAUUUAUUUAAAUAAUUGGAAAAUUUGUGUGUUUUUUACGUGUGGAUUUGAAAUAAUAAUAAUUCCAAGAAUUCUGUGGGAAGUUGUGUACAAUUGAGAAACUCUGGUGGAGCACAACGGUCGCGAGACGCAGUGAUUCUUUGUUAAGGUCACUCGCUUUGCACGGCCCCUUUGAUCUCAACUCAUAACUUUAAUACACGGUACGAGCGUAUUUUCUGCAAAUCCUAAUAAAACUUUAGAAGUUUUCGUUGAGAAAUGUCUUCAACAUCGGCGGCCAGUGGUAGUGGUGGUACAAGUGGUGGCAGUUCUACUACCUCUGCCUCUCCCCCCGCUACUGGAAACAGCAUGAACUCUAGUACCGCAAGGGGCCGAACUAGUAACUCAUCAGGUGCCAACGCAAAUAAUUCAGGUGCCGGCAGCUCCAACGCUAUUUCAAAUAAUUCUGUAAAUGCCACUGCCUCCUCUGCGGCUGGUUCCGGGACUGCGGAAGAGACUCGCAAAGAUCCAAAACCAAAUCCAAAAAUUUCCAAAGCUUUGGGUACCUCAGCUAAACGCAUACAAAAGGAGUUAGCCGAAAUUACACUUGAUCCACCUCCGAAUUGCAGUGCCGGUCCAAAAGGAGAUAAUCUUUACGAAUGGGUAUCUACGAUAUUAGGGCCGCCUGGCUCUGUAUAUGAGGGUGGGGUGUUUUUCUUGGAUAUUCAUUUCUCACCAGAAUAUCCCUUCAAGCCACCAAAAGUGACAUUUCGCACGCGCAUUUAUCACUGCAACAUAAACAGUCAAGGAGUAAUUUGCUUGGAUAUUUUAAAAGAUAAUUGGUCCCCUGCGCUGACCAUAUCAAAAGUAUUGUUGUCAAUUUGUUCCCUCCUGACUGACUGUAAUCCCGCGGAUCCUUUGGUCGGCAGCAUCGCCACUCAAUAUUUGCAAAAUCGGGAGGAGCAUGAUAGAAUCGCCCGACUUUGGACAAAAAGAUAUGCAACAUGAUUUCCUAAUCUUAUAGGUCCCAACAAUAACAAAAAAAAUUUGUAACAGCAGCAAAUGUAAGAAAUACAAAAAUGUAUAUUUACAAAAAAAAAAAUAAGAUUUUCUGAAACGAAUAAUUGCAAAUAUCAAGAAAAUAAAUGAUAAUUGAAAAUUUUUAAUUUUAAAGGGAAGUUAUCUUCUAACUAUGUAUAACUCUAUAUAAUAUAUAUAUUAGUAAUUAAUGAUAAAAAUAAUGCCUAAUACAAAAAAGGAAAAUUAAGCAGAUAUUGAGCAGGAAUUGGUGACAGUUUUGUAGGAUGGUUACUAUAUAAUAACAAGUUUAAAUAAUAGUACAUUUUAUCACUGGCGAUGCUUCCUAUAAUGGCGACCACGAAAAUGAAUGAAAACAUACGAAUGUGUAAUAUUGACACCAUGGACAAAAACUACAAUAUUUUGUUAACAUUUUCGGAAAAUAAUCCCACCAUUAUUAUUUUUUAUCAAAUGAGUUCUGCAAAAAUAACACGAUUAUUUCAGGCAAAGAAGUAGUUCAGAUGUCAGCUUAGUUCGUACAUAUGUAAAUUGUGUUUCCCUUUCUUUUAUGUGUGAAAAAUUAAGCAGCCAGCAUACAUACGAGUACACACCGUAAUUUCAACUUUUGAAUAAGAAAUAAAUAAACCAAAUCUACUGAUGAUAUGUCAACAUAAAACAAUGCUUAAUAUAUUAUAAUAUUAUUAUAAUUUAUAGCACUAUGAUUAAUUGAACAGCAAAGAAAUUGUAAAACGAAACGAAAAUAAAUUUAAUUAAAGUAAGA